AAAUUGAAGAGUUUGAUCAUGGCUCAGAUUGAACGCUGGCGGCAGGCCUAACACAUGCAAGUCGAGCGGAAACGAGUUAUCUGAACCUUCGGGGAACGAUAACGGCGUCGAGCGGCGGACGGGUGAGUAAUGCCUAGGAAAUUGCCCUGAUGUGGGGGAUAACCAUUGGAAACGAUGGCUAAUACCGCAUGAUGCCUACGGGCCAAAGAGGGGGACCUUCGGGCCUCUCGCGUCAGGAUAUGCCUAGGUGGGAUUAGCUAGUUGGUGAGGUAAGGGCUCACCAAGGCGACGAUCCCUAGCUGGUCUGAGAGGAUGAUCAGCCACACUGGAACUGAGACACGGUCCAGACUCCUACGGGAGGCAGCAGUGGGGAAUAUUGCACAAUGGGCGCAAGCCUGAUGCAGCCAUGCCGCGUGUGUGAAGAAGGCCUUCGGGUUGUAAAGCACUUUCAGUCGUGAGGAAGGUAGUGUAGUUAAUAGCUGCAUUAUUUGACGUUAGCGACAGAAGAAGCACCGGCUAACUCCGUGCCAGCAGCCGCGGUAAUACGGAGGGUGCGAGCGUUAAUCGGAAUUACUGGGCGUAAAGCGCAUGCAGGUGGUUUGUUAAGUCAGAUGUGAAAGCCCGGGGCUCAACCUCGGAAUUGCAUUUGAAACUGGCAGACUAGAGUACUGUAGAGGGGGGUAGAAUUUCAGGUGUAGCGGUGAAAUGCGUAGAGAUCUGAAGGAAUACCGGUGGCGAAGGCGGCCCCCUGGACAGAUACUGACACUCAGAUGCGAAAGCGUGGGGAGCAAACAGGAUUAGAUACCCUGGUAGUCCACGCCGUAAACGAUGUCUACUUGGAGGUUGUGGCCUUGAGCCGUGGCUUUCGGAGCUAACGCGUUAAGUAGACCGCCUGGGGAGUACGGUCGCAAGAUUAAAACUCAAAUGAAUUGA
RNAcentral lists this ribosomal RNA (933 nucleotides) under Vibrio parahaemolyticus. Its description in RNAcentral is "bacterial SSU rRNA". It matches the Rfam family "Bacterial small subunit ribosomal RNA", at positions 1 to 913 of the family's 1533-position model. The record is from RNAcentral. Lineage: Bacteria; Pseudomonadati; Pseudomonadota; Gammaproteobacteria; Vibrionales; Vibrionaceae.